This 465-nucleotide ribosomal RNA is filed under the name Vreelandella stevensii. RNAcentral describes it as "partial 16S ribosomal RNA". It matches the Rfam family "Bacterial small subunit ribosomal RNA", at positions 338 to 795 of the family's 1533-position model. The record is from RNAcentral. Lineage: Bacteria; Pseudomonadati; Pseudomonadota; Gammaproteobacteria; Oceanospirillales; Halomonadaceae.
CCAACGGGCGGCUGCAGUGGGGAAUAUUGGACAAUGGGCGAAAGCCUGAUCCAGCCAUGCCGCGUGUGUGAAGAAGGCCUUCGGGUUGUAAAGCACUUUCAGUGGGGAAGAAAGCCUUGGGGCUAAUACCCUCGAGGAAGGACAUCACCCACAGAAGAAGCACCGGCUAACUCCGUGCCAGCAGCCGCGGUAAUACGGAGGGUGCGAGCGUUAAUCGGAAUUACUGGGCGUAAAGCGCGCGUAGGCGGUCUGAUAAGCCGGUUGUGAAAGCCCCGGGCUCAACCUGGGAACGGCAUCCGGAACUGUCAGGCUAGAGUGCAGGAGAGGAAGGUAGAAUUCCCGGUGUAGCGGUGAAAUGCGUAGAGAUCGGGAGGAAUACCAGUGGCGAAGGCGGCCUUCUGGACUGACACUGACGCUGAGGUGCGAAAGCGUGGGUAGCAAACAGGAUUAGAUACCCGAGUAGUC